UGCCAAAAUAUACAGCCCAUCAGUAGUUUCUUUGUUUCACAGAGUCACAGAAUGGCUGAGGUGGGAGGGACCUCUGAAAAUGUCAUAGUUCAGUGCCCCAGCAUAAAGUAGGUCAGCCAGAGCAGGUUGCUUAGGGCUGUCUCCAGCCAGGUGUUCCAAGAUGGAACACCAUCUUUCCAUCUUCAAAGAUGGAAACUCCACAGCCUAUGUGGGCAGCAUGUUCCAGUGUUUUAUAAUCCUAGAGUAAGAAGUUUUUCCUAUGUUUAAAUUUAAUUUCUUGCAUUUCAAUUUGUGCCCAUUGCCUUUUGUCCUGUCACUGAAUACCUCUGAGGGUAGUUUGACUGUGUCUUCUUUACACUCCCCCAUCAGGUAAUUAUAUACAUUGAUAAGACGGCCAACAAACAUUCGCUUCUUCCAGCUCUCUCAGCCUUUCCUUCUGUGACAGAUGCUCAGGUUCCUUACACAUGGGACAUCAGUUCCUUUCAUGGCUGCUUGCAAGAAUUAGUCCAAUAUGACCAUGUUUCUCUUCUACUGAACAUUAUUGAACAUGAGUCAACAGUAUUCCUUGGAAGCCAAGGGGGCCACCCAUGUCCUAGGGUGCAUCCAGCACAACAUUGACAGCCUGUCAAGGGAGGUGAUUGUCCCACUCUGCUCUGCACUGGUGCAGCCUCACCUGGAGCACUGUGUGCAGUUCUGGGCAACACAGGAUAAAAAGAAUAUAAAGCUACUGGACAGUGGCCAGAAGAGGCUACAAAGUUGGUGAAGGAUUUGGAGAGGAAGCCAUAUAAGGAGUGGCUAAAGUCACUAGGUUUGUUCAGCCUGGAGGAGAAGAGACUCAGGUGAGACCUCAUGGUGGCCACAGCUUCCUCACAAGGGGAGGAGGAGGGGCAGGCGCUGAUCUCUUCUCUCUGGUGACCAAUGACAGAACCCAAGGGAAUGGCAGGAAGAUGUGCCAGGGGAAGUUUAGGUUGGACAUUAGGAAAAGGUUUUUCGCCCAGAGGGUGGUGGAGCUCUGGAACAGGCUCCCCAGGGAGGUAUCACAGUCCUAAGCCCGACAGUGCUCAAGAAGUGAUUGGACACUGUGAAGCCCAGCAGAGCACCUUUUCUUUUUGGCUCCUCUAUAGCCUGUCAGGAGUCUGUCAUCAGUGCAGUCCAGAAACCUCCUGACUGUUUGUGCCCCGAUGGAUUGCACUGCCUGAAGAGGUAUUGGGGUGGCUGAAGUCCACCCUGAGAAUCAGACUCUGUGAUUGUGAGGCUUUUGCCAGUUGUCUGAAGAACAGGCAACUGUUUGCUUUUUAGCCUGAAAGUUGUCAGUUCGUGAUGACUAUUGAAACUAGAGCUGCCCUCAUUUCUGCUGAAGACAAAGUCAAAUGACAUGCUUUCCCUCCCUGAUCAGGAUGAAGAUGCUUCAUCUGUAUGGCUUCCACUUCAGUCAUGGUCUGGAGUACACGAAAGAAAUCACCAAAACUGUGGAAGUCUUUUGUGAGCUCACUGUCUCAGCUGCUAACAUUUCCAUUGAAUGAAAAAUUCUGUGUAUCCCAGGAGAUAUCUUUGUCUUUAAAAUGUACCUCUGCUUUGAUAAAGAGCUUUCAUGUCACUUUGUGCCUCAUUUUUUGAGAACGCCAAAGCAUAAAAUUGUGUUGUUUUUAAAUA
Long non-coding RNA from Columba livia (rock pigeon), 1653 nucleotides. RefSeq lists it as uncharacterized. The record is from RefSeq and is a predicted model, not a curated record. Lineage: Eukaryota; Metazoa; Chordata; Aves; Columbiformes; Columbidae. The transcript has 3 exons.